RNAcentral lists this long non-coding RNA (1709 nucleotides) under Capra hircus (goat). RNAcentral's name for it is "lncRNA (ENSCHIG00010023711.1)". Lineage: Eukaryota; Metazoa; Chordata; Mammalia; Artiodactyla; Bovidae. The record is from RNAcentral.
GGAGAAUCCCCAUGAACAGAGGAGCCUGGUGGGCUACAGUCCAUGGAGUCACAAAAAGUCAGACUUGACUGAGUGACUAAGCACUCUACAGGAGAUGGGCCGUCCUUCCAUUUAGUCCAUCAUAUUCAGAAUACUGAAAGUAGAAUCAAAUCACUUUCUGAUUUCUUAAUUGAGCUGCUUGUCCCUUUCUCAUUUCACAGGAACAGGAAGUUCCUCACAUGUUCUCAUCAAGAACAGUGUUGCCAGAGUUGUCCAUCUGGUUUGUAAAGAUGCAGGAUGGUCUCAGAACCUGAAGCAAGCUGGAGAGACCUCCAAAGACGUAAUUUAAAGCCACACUCUGAAAAUAACAGAGCAAAUGGGAAAGGCCUGUUCUCCACUGAGUUUUCAGUCCUGGUAACUGAACUAAAAAAGACUGUGGCCUCUUCCAACCUCAACACCAGGCUCAACCAGAAAAAUGAAAUAAAUAUUUCUCAUUCAGGGCUCUGGCAGAAGCAGGACAGACUGUGUGAAAUAAGACCUGAACUCCUUGCUGUGCCCUCAUUCCCCAGCCCUCCCUGGAGAUCUCCUUAAAAGUUGUCUGAAACGUAGCAGCAGAGAGAGGGGCAGGAGAAAUANAACGUAGCAGCAGAGAGAGGGGCAGGGGAAAUACAGCAGUGAAGAAAGGACGGAGAUGCAAGAGUGGUGCAUGGAGAAAACAUGGAGCAGAUGGGAAAACAGAGGAGACCCAACAGAGUGAAUUGGGAGGGUAGGGCGCAGUGCAAGAAACCGUAUCUCAGGUCUGAACAGCAUUGCUCAAAGCCCUACAUGUGACAUCCAGUGGAACCCGCCAUCUCUAAAGCUGACUUUAGUCUGAGCAACCCUAACUUCAGUCUGUCCAGCCAAGUGGGUUGUAGAGAGUUGUGUAAAGUUUCCAUCAGUUUAUCAGCAUAUCUUUGUCAAGCUUCUUCUUUUUUUUUUAAUUCACAUUUGGUUUAGACAUGACAGUCAUUGUGCCCUGUCUUCAACAUUGAAUACAUCCAACUCAUCUAUACCUACAGCCCUCACAGUGAGGUUACCCAAGUCAAGCUGUAGGGACACAUUCCAAUCUAAGCCAUAAAAAGCUUAAUUUUAUGUUAAAUCAGGAUAAGCCAGUGCUCUAGAGAAAACACAUAAACUGCCAAGUCCUCUUCUUGUCCCACGUUGGUCAUCCUGGUGCCUUGCAGGAGCAUUGUUUCCAGCUGUUAAGGUUAUGAAUUCUCCCACACUGUGGCCAAGAUGAGUCCAUUCUGACUACAGGAAUUUCCAGACAGGACAGAGAGAAUGACAUCAGCUGCCUCAACAAUUGACUUGGUUGGGGUUAGAAGCAGGGACUCAAACACCAUGGAAACUCAGAGUCACAGAACCAGCAGACUUAAGCUAGGCAACAGAGUUCACUUGAUAGAAUGCCUUGCUUUUGCUUCAGAACAUAAGGACAUCUUUUCCUGAUCAAGGGUGUAUUUUAUCUCCUUUAUAAUACUGAUUUAGUGAAAAUAAGUGCAUUGUCACACAGCACAAAAAUACGCCAUUAUUCAAUGGCUGCUGCUAUUUAAGCUGAAACAAUUAUUAUAUUUUCCUAGUGAACUGAACUUUUUACAAUUCUAAAGUGUCUUUUCAUAAGUCUCAGUUCAGUUCAGUCGCUCAUAGUCAUGUCUGACUCUUUGCGACCCCAUGAAUCACAGCACGCCAGGCCU